GACGAACGCUGGCGGCGUGCCUAAUACAUGCAAGUCGAACGCACUCUCGUUUAGAUUGAAGGAGUUUGCUCCUGAUUGAUAAACAUUUGAGUGAGUGGCGGACGGGUGAGUAACACGUGGGUAACCUGCCCUAAAGUGGGGGAUAACAUUUGGAAACAGAUGCUAAUACCGCAUAAAACCUAACACCGCAUGGUGUAGGGUUGAAAGAUGGUUUCGGCUAUCACUUUAGGAUGGACCCGCGGUGCAUUAGUUAGUUGGUGAGGUAAAGGCUCACCAAGACCGCGAUGCAUAGCCGACCUGAGAGGGUAAUCGGCCACACUGGGACUGAGACACGGCCCAGACUCCUACGGGAGGCAGCAGUAGGGAAUCUUCCACAAUGGACGAAAGUAUGAUGGAGCAACGCCGCGUGAGUGAAGAAGGUUUUCGGAUCGUAAAACUCUGUUGUUGGAGAAGAAUGUAUCUGAUAGUAACUGAUCAGGUAGUGACGGUAUCAAACCAGAAAGCCACGGCUAACUACGUG
This 520-nucleotide ribosomal RNA is filed under the name uncultured bacterium. Its description in RNAcentral is "partial 16S ribosomal RNA". It matches the Rfam family "Bacterial small subunit ribosomal RNA", at positions 28 to 507 of the family's 1533-position model. The record is from RNAcentral.